UGUGCUGUCAAGAAAUAGUAACAUAAAUAUAAAUGAAAAUAUUUAUAUUAAUCAUGGUCCAUUUUUCCCAUGACAAAUAUGGACAAGACUGGACAUGGGAACUCUAUUCCCAAGGGCGUUCCCAGAACACAUUAUCGAACACAGUUAUUACAAGGAACUAAUUUGCCCAUAUAGAUGUAGCAGUCACAAAACUGAAUUCUCUGUGAAGGCUCAGACGGUACAACUAAGAAAAGCUCACACCGAGGAGAUUUAGAAAGUGUGUUGAUGGGCUAGAGCAUCAUCUGCCCGUGUUUACAAAAAUAAGGUGGUUUUUACUGGUCAGCUAAUGAAAAGUAAUCCCAUCAGCAAGCUUUUCCUAGGAGGGCAGAAGCUAGGGUGCACCCAGAGCCCAAGUCUCUGAACAUCAACUGACGCACAAGGUGCAAAAUAAUCAAGAAGCCUUUGUUAAUAGGCAUCAUUCUGAAUAGUCAUCUUUUUAAAAUAGGCACCGGGGUGGCUCAGUUGGUUAAGCAUCCGACUCUUGAUUUUUGGCUCAGGUUGUGAUCCUGCGUCCUGAGGUUGAGCCCUAGGACAGGCUCCCCAGUCAGUGUGGAGUCUGCUUCAGAUGGUUUCCCCCUCUCUACUCCUCUCCACUGGCUCCCUCCCUCUCUCUCUUUCUCUCAAAGAAAGAAAUAAAUAAAAUCUUUGAAAACAAAAUAAAAUAGGUAAUACAUGAACAAAGUGUUAAAAAAAAAAAAAAGUCAAGCCAUGCAGGAUUAUAGAAGCACACAUGUUCACACGUGCACACAGAGUCCGAUUUGCCUCUAUCCACUGUCCUCCUGCUACCCAGGAGGACAGUCCUCCUCAAAGGUGCUGUUCUUGUCUAUCCUUUCAGAGAUGAUCAGCGCAGUCUCCCUCACUUCUAAAUUUGGUAAUUCCGCUGUACUUGGGAUUUUGACAAGUUUUCCACCUGCUAAGAAAGGGUGUCCUGAAGCCCGUGUCUUCCUAAAUUGAGAGCUAAAGGAAAAGGAAAUGCAAGAGACCAAAGAGAUCCUUGUCACAAGAAACAAAGGACACUGGGGAAAAAAGGCAUGAAAGGAAAAGAGCACAAGCAGGGGAAGCGGCAGAGGGAGAGAAGCAGGCUCCCUGCUGAGUAGAAAACCCAAGGACUAUGAUGCUGGGCUCAAUCCCAGCACCCUGGGAUCAUGACCUGAGCAGAGGGCAGACUCUUAACCAACUAAGCCACCCAGGCACCCCUUAGGUACUGUUUAAAGGAAAUGGUUAUUGUUGUCUUUUAACUGUUUCUUACUUCCAAUUCUACCCCAGCAUUUGUUUUUCAUUGAAAUGUAAUUAACAUAAAACCAUUUGAGUAUUUAUUUGUUAAUAAUGUAUAAGGAUUUAAAAUUUAUUUUUUAAAUUCCAGUACAAUUAACAUACAAUGUUAUAUUAGUUCCAGGUGUACAAUAUGGUGAUUCAGCAGUUCUGUGCUUUACUCGGUGCUUAUCACAAUAAGCGUACCCUAAUGCCCCUCACCUACUCGACCCAUUCCCCCGACCCACCUUCUCUCUGGUACCCAUCAGUUUGUUGUCUACAAUUAAGAGUCUGUUUUUUUGUUUGCAUCUUUUUGAAUUUGUUCAUUCGUUUUGUUUCUUAAAUUCCACAUCUGAGCGAAACCGUA
This is a long non-coding RNA of Mustela lutreola (European mink), 1657 nucleotides long. RefSeq lists it as uncharacterized. Lineage: Eukaryota; Metazoa; Chordata; Mammalia; Carnivora; Mustelidae. The record is from RefSeq and is a predicted model, not a curated record. The transcript has 2 exons.